UUUAAAAAAUUUUGUUGGGGCGACAGUGAAAUUUACUUAACUUUCACUUUUAAUUAUUCAUUUAUUUAUGUAAUUUUGAUCCAUUAUUAAUGAUUACAAGAUUAAAUUACCUUAGGGAUAACAGCGUAAUUCUUUCGGAGAGUUCUUAUCGAUGAAUGGAGUUUGCGACCUCGAUGUUGGAUUAAAGUAAUUUUAAGGUGCAGAAGCUUUAAAUUUUAGUCUGUUCGACUAUUAAAUCUUUACAUGAUCUGAGUUCAAACCGGCGUGAGCCAGGUUGGUUUCUAUCUACAAUAUUUAUAGUAUAUUUUAGUACGAAAGGACCAUAUAUACAUAAUACUUAUUUAAUUUUUGAGUAAUAUUACUAUUUUGGCAGAUUUAAGUGCAGUAAAUUUAGAAUUUAUAUAUGUAAUUUUUAUUACAAAUAGUA
RNAcentral lists this ribosomal RNA (427 nucleotides) under Pephricus paradoxus. Its description in RNAcentral is "partial large subunit ribosomal RNA". The stretch from base 117 to 276 matches the Rfam family "Bacterial large subunit ribosomal RNA", at positions 2473 to 2632 of the family's 2925-position model. The record is from RNAcentral. Lineage: Eukaryota; Metazoa; Arthropoda; Insecta; Hemiptera; Coreidae.